AAGAUAUACAAACUCCAACUUUCAAGAACAUUUAUGAAAUACACAAUUCAUACCUCAACUUGUCUCUGCAAGGACUGCACAUAAUUUAUAAUUUCAUCAAGCAUGACUGCUUUCCCUGUAAUCCGGUUGCAACCAGGAACCAGAUCCUGAAGCAACGUCAUUCUCUCACUAAUCUUUUCUCUUCUUGCCU
RNAcentral lists this small RNA (190 nucleotides) under Arabidopsis thaliana (thale cress). RNAcentral's name for it is "ATSL146450". Lineage: Eukaryota; Viridiplantae; Streptophyta; Magnoliopsida; Brassicales; Brassicaceae. The record is from RNAcentral.